UUCUCGGGCUUCUGGAGUGAGUGAUGGUGUGGGUUGCCGGCUGUAGUUACUCCACUCAGCGCAGAGUGGCUGCGGGGAAUGUAUUCAGACAUCCCCCAAGACGUCUGCCCUGGGUGAGACAGAUGCCUCUGAGGU
Procavia capensis (Cape rock hyrax) is the source of this 135-nucleotide non-coding RNA. The record is from Rfam. NCBI's taxonomy places the organism in Eukaryota, Metazoa, Chordata, Mammalia, Hyracoidea, Procaviidae.